CAUUCACUCUAUUCACGUGGCAGCAUCCUAUUCGAUCCAAUAGUGAAUAUUCUAACGGAGUCCAACAUCCCCGCUCUGGGAACAAUCGGAAAAAAAAAGAAAAAAGAAAAAAAAGGCAGAAUUCCGUUUACCAAAACUAAGAAACUUAAAAAACUAGAAAGCCGAUUACCAAAUCCUCAAAUUUGGAAAGAGGGAAUUUUGUGCGAUCUAAUUUGGGCCGCCACUUGUGCGAGGCGUUCACGCG
This 244-nucleotide long non-coding RNA is filed under the name Elaeis guineensis (African oil palm). RNAcentral's name for it is "long non-coding RNA (EGUI_LNC019408)". The record is from RNAcentral. Lineage: Eukaryota; Viridiplantae; Streptophyta; Magnoliopsida; Arecales; Arecaceae.